AGUCCAAAAACUCUGAGUCAACAUUUUGAGCACAACCAUCCGAGAGCUCAGAGUAGAAAUUGAGAUCCAUUGUGAAAUAAAUUACUAGGUCAUUUUGAGGGUUCCAGUCAGAGUCAAAUAUAACACAAGUGUCAGCAGCAGUUAGGUUAAUACCCAAGCCACCAGCGCGGGUACACAGCAGGAAGACAAAGCGGUCUGAGUCAGGUUUGCUGAAACGAUCGAUGGCAGCCUGUCGCAAGUUCCCACGCACUCUACCAUCAAUUCGCUCAUAAAGAAAAACUGCAACAUAUACACUGCGGUCAUCAUACCUCUUGUUGAUGAGGUAGUCCUCCAGAAUGUCUAAGCAGCGCACCAUC
Molecule: long non-coding RNA, 356 nt
Organism: Maylandia zebra (zebra mbuna)
Lineage: Eukaryota; Metazoa; Chordata; Actinopteri; Cichliformes; Cichlidae
Source: RefSeq, a predicted model, not a curated record